This 307-nucleotide long non-coding RNA is filed under the name Mytilus galloprovincialis (Mediterranean mussel). Lineage: Eukaryota; Metazoa; Mollusca; Bivalvia; Mytilida; Mytilidae. The record is from RNAcentral.
CAUAGACCAGUGUGAAUAGCUAUUGUUUUUAAAAAGCUGUUUUGUAUUUAUUAUUGGAAAGAACAUAUAUUGAUUUUUGUUACAUGGUGAUGGCCAUCGUGGAUAUGGAUUGACAGCAAAAACUGAAUAUAAGUGAAAGACUCUUUGGAUCAAUUCUGUUAAGACAAAAUUCAAUUUGCCAAUCGAAUCCUUUGAAGACCUUCAAAAAACGAGAACAUAUUUUGGCCCUUGAUUAAUUUGUUGCAUUAUAUUGGAAGUGUAUUACAUACUAUUUAUCUCAAUUUUGUAUUUUACCAAACAGUGGACG